AUGUUGACUUCCUCAAUUUUAUUUUUGUUUCUUUUCUCCAGCACCCUUCUAGGACACACCGGUAUUAGCAGAAACAAACGUGCGCCGAGUCUGUCAUGUUUCUCCAGCCUCGGUGGCAUGGUUUUCAUUGCUUCUCUACAGCGUGGCCCUCGCUGCUUUCAUGACUCAGGGUGUGCAGGUGCUCUGCAAACAGUUCAGAGCCAUGACCACUCGAAAGGAAUCUGGGAGGCCCAGUUAGCGGGGUUCCUUGUAACUCUGCCUUGUCGGUCCUGUCCUGCAGUGUGUUUCUGCAGCGCUCAGUCCCCGGUCUGCAGCUUCUUCCAGAGACAUUACCAGCUGUUCAGUUUCUCUUCUCCUCUUUCCAGCUCCAUGCAGGCUACCCGAUUUGAGUCAUUGCUCAAGCAAGGAGUGCUGUCAAGUGAAUUGUCUCUCUGCAGAUGACGAGAGCCUUUCUCAACGUUGCCUUGCAGAUGAAAUUGAUGUGUUUGGAGUUGCUGGCCUGUGAAUUCAAGUCGACCCCAUCCAGUGACUUAAAACACACAGCCUAGGUUGUAUGCCGACUACCUCUCCCAAAGAGCGCACAAGCACAGCGUCUUUUCUAACGUGUGGCUAGACAUCAAGUGGAACAUCUGUAGCAUAAAUUUGUAGCUUAGAAUACCUCUCUUUGUCCCAAGUUUGGAGUCCUUUCUAAUUUCAUUCUUAACAUGCAUCUGGAGAAUGGUAAUAGUAUCUUCCUGUCCUUGAUUGUAUAAUAAUUCCUACUUACCAAAUCCAGUUGACCAGAAAAAAAAAUCAUGCAGAAUAAGGAAUGCAAGUGGUCCCUUUGAUUCUCCCAUCAAACAGGGUGGUGAGGAAAUUAUUAGGUUUUAUAAGGGGGACAGGGAGGGGCAAUAAGAACCUUGAGGGGAAGGCAGGCUGUAAUAUCUCUCUUGUAAUUUUCAGUUAUAUGAAAACUGUGUGAGAAAUACAGGUCUAGGCUGUGUGAGAAAUACAGGUUUAGACCAUUCUCUAGGUUUAACCGCACCAAAAAAAAAAAAAAAAAAAAGU
This 1047-nucleotide long non-coding RNA is filed under the name Sus scrofa (pig). Its description in RNAcentral is "lncRNA (ENSSSCG00015032694.1)". The record is from RNAcentral. Lineage: Eukaryota; Metazoa; Chordata; Mammalia; Artiodactyla; Suidae.